CGGGGUUCACCCCGGCACUGAAGGGAGACCUGGGGUACCAGUUGGGCCCCCCACAGGAGACCCCGGCCCCCGGCGGCGGAGAAAAUGGAGCCGGAGAGAGAGAAGAGGCCCAAGCGGGGACUUACUGGGACUGGGAAAGGCUUGGUUCCAGUGGGAAGCAGAGGACUCAAAGACUGUGGGAUGUCAAGUUCUCAAAUGUAUACAUACGCUGUUAGCAGUGGGUCCAAUGCACAGUUUAAAGGUAUUUCUUGGUAGGCUGCGGAACCCCACAUAACCUGAGGAGACCCAUGCUCCGGAGACGGGGUCCACGGGUGUCCAGGUCAGGGGCCUCCGUCUCAGAUUCCUGGGGAGGAGUCAGCAUGGCUGCCUGAGGGAGCUCCCCACAGUCACCACUCAGAGGCCAGCGCUUGGAUGGUGAGGCUGUUUCUUCAGUCUUGGGGGCCUGAGCACAUUACAUCUCCGUCCUCAUCAACUUCGGCCUCUGGCUUCAGCGUCCUGGAAGGGUUUGGAAUGGAUAUAAAUUAUAAGGAGUUAUGAACAUCAGAGCCUGCAAGAUUUCCAGCAGCCUUCCUACCUCUCUUUCCUUCCCCUAUCUUUGACUUCUGCAAUAGUAUUAUCUCUUCUGAUCAUAAAUAUGUAGAUAGGAAAGCUCCCUCAAGCCCAGGUUCCUCCUCAC
Nycticebus coucang (slow loris) is the source of this 676-nucleotide long non-coding RNA. RefSeq lists it as uncharacterized. The transcript is spliced from 5 exons. The record is from RefSeq and is a predicted model, not a curated record. NCBI's taxonomy places the organism in Eukaryota, Metazoa, Chordata, Mammalia, Primates, Lorisidae.